AGGACGAACGCUGGCGGCGUGCUUAAUACAUGCAAGUCGAGCGGAAAGGCCCUUCGGGGUACUCGAGCGGCGAACGGGUGAGUAACACGUGAGCAACCUGCCCUUAGCUCCGGGAUAGCUCCGGGAAACCGGAAUUAAUACCGGAUAUGACCUAGGCCGACAUCGGCUGUGGUGGAAAGUUUUUCGGCUGGGGAUGGACUCGCGGCCUAUCAGCUUGUUGGUGGGGUAAUGGCCUACCAAGGCGACGACGGGUAGCCGGCCUGAGAGGGCGACCGGCCACGACUGGGACUGAGACACGGCCCAGACUCCUACGGGAGGCAGCAGUGGGGAAUCUUGCGCAAUGGGCGAAAGCCUGACGCAGCGACGCCGCGUGGGGGAUGAAGGCCUUCGGGUUGUAAACCCUUUCAGCAGGACGAAGCGAAGUGACGGUACCUGCAGAAGAAGCGCCGGCUAACUACGUGCCAGCAGCCGC
This 472-nucleotide ribosomal RNA is filed under the name uncultured bacterium. RNAcentral's name for it is "SSU rRNA". It matches the Rfam family "Bacterial small subunit ribosomal RNA", at positions 26 to 518 of the family's 1533-position model. The record is from RNAcentral.